AUGGCUGAAGGGUCCAAUUGGAUUAUGACUCUGGUGAAGAUUCCAACUUGGACUAGGACUCUAUGGCAGAGUCCCACUGAGACUGAAACUCUAUCAUUUAUAGAGAAUUAAUUAGUAAUUAGAUUACUAAUUGACUUAAUUUGAUUGAGUAAAGAGCUUUGGAAUAAGUCUAAUUUAAUUAGAUUCAGUUCGACUCAGAUUGUGAUUGAUAUGAUCAAACCCGAUUAUAAGAAAAAUUUGAUCCUGAUUC
RNAcentral lists this long non-coding RNA (250 nucleotides) under Elaeis guineensis (African oil palm). RNAcentral's name for it is "long non-coding RNA (EGUI_LNC041650)". Lineage: Eukaryota; Viridiplantae; Streptophyta; Magnoliopsida; Arecales; Arecaceae. The record is from RNAcentral.